This 211-nucleotide long non-coding RNA is filed under the name Lathyrus oleraceus (garden pea). RNAcentral describes it as "Pisum sativum (pea) long non-coding RNA (PSAT_LNC016994)". The record is from RNAcentral. Lineage: Eukaryota; Viridiplantae; Streptophyta; Magnoliopsida; Fabales; Fabaceae.
GGAGAUGUAUUCAGAAACUUUCUCAUUAUUCUUCAUGUUGAGAUUCUCAUAUUGCUUUCUCAAGGACUGAAGCUUCACCUUCUUCACUGAUGCGUCACCACCAUAAUAUCUAACCAGUGUGUCCCACGCAGCCUUUGCUGUCGUUGAAUCUGCAAUCUUCUCAAACACAUUUACAUCAACACAUUGAUGAAUGAAGAACAAUGCUUUUUUA